Molecule: ribosomal RNA, 474 nt
Filed under: uncultured bacterium
Lineage: Bacteria
Description: partial 16S ribosomal RNA
Rfam family: Bacterial small subunit ribosomal RNA
Source: RNAcentral
GACGAACGCUGGCGGCGUGCUUAACACAUGCCAGUCGAGCGGUAAGGCUCCUUCGGGAGUACACGAGCGGCGAACGGGUGAGUAACACGUGAGUAAUCUGCCCUUCACUUCGGGAUAACCACCGGAAACGGUGGCUAAUACCGAAUACGACCAGUCUUCGCAUGAGGUGCUGGUGGAAAGUCUUUUCGGUGAAGGAUGUGCUCGCGGCCUAUCAGCUUGUUGGUGGGGUAAUGGCCUACCAAGGCUUCGACGGGUAGCCGGCCUGAGAGGGUGACCGGCCACACUGGGACUGAGACACGGCCCAGACUCCUACGGGAGGCAGCAGUGGGGAAUAUUGGACAAUGGGCGAAAGCCUGAUCCAGCAACGCCGCGUGAGGGAUGACGGCCUUCGGGUUGUAAACCUCGCGCAGUACCGACGAAGCGCCCUGUCGGGUGGUGACGGUAGGUACAGAAGAAGGACCGGCCAACUACGUG